AGCAGCCGCGGUAAUUCCAGCUCCAAUAGCGUAUAUUAAAGUUAUUGCAGUUAAAAAGCUCGUAGUUGAAUUUCGGAGUUCUACCGUCGGUCGGGCUACCGAGUCUGUACUGGUGUGUAGAAUUCCUACCUUCUGGGGAACUAUCAUGUUAUUAAUUUAGCGUGGUGGGAAACCAGGACCUUUACCUUGAAAAAAUUAGAGUGUUCAAAGCAGGCUUAUGUCUGAAUACAUUAGCAUGGAAUAAUAGAAUAGGACGGUGGUCCUGUUUUGUUGGUUUCUGAAUCACCGUAAUGAUUAAUAGGGAUAGUUGGGGGCAUUAGUAUUCAAUUGUCAGAGGUGAAAUUCUUGGAUUUAUUGAAGACUAACUUCUGCGAAAGCAUUUGCCAAGGAUGUUUUCAUUAAUCAAGAACGAAAGUUAGGGGAUCGAAGUACGAUCAGAUACCGUCGUAGUCUUAACCAUAAACUAUGCCGACUAGGGAUCGGACGAUGUUAAAUUUAUUGACUCGUUCGGCGCCUUACG
RNAcentral lists this ribosomal RNA (520 nucleotides) under uncultured Scutellospora. Its description in RNAcentral is "SSU rRNA". It matches the Rfam family "Eukaryotic small subunit ribosomal RNA", at positions 569 to 1092 of the family's 1831-position model. The record is from RNAcentral. Lineage: Eukaryota; Fungi; Glomeromycota; Glomeromycetes; Diversisporales; Gigasporaceae.